UACAGAGGAUGCAAGCGUUAUCCGGAAUGAUUGGGCGUAAAGCGUCUGUAGGUGGCUUUUUAAGUCCGCCGUCAAAUCCCAGGGCUCAACUCUGGACAGGCGGUGGAAACUACCAAGCUGGAGUACGGUAGGGGCAGAGGGAAUUUCCGGUGGAGCGGUGAAAUGCGCAGAUAUCAGGAAGAACACCCGUGGCGAAAGCGGCUCUCUGGAACGGUACUGACGCUGAGACGCGAAAGCGUGGGGAGCGAACAGG
This 253-nucleotide ribosomal RNA is filed under the name uncultured bacterium. RNAcentral's name for it is "partial 16S ribosomal RNA". It matches the Rfam family "Bacterial small subunit ribosomal RNA", at positions 524 to 776 of the family's 1533-position model. The record is from RNAcentral.